RNAcentral lists this ribosomal RNA (450 nucleotides) under uncultured bacterium. Its description in RNAcentral is "partial 16S ribosomal RNA". It matches the Rfam family "Bacterial small subunit ribosomal RNA", at positions 354 to 796 of the family's 1533-position model. The record is from RNAcentral.
GUGGGGAAUUUUGGACAAUGGGGGCAACCCUGAUCCAGCCAUUCCGCGUGAGUGAAGAAGGCCUUCGGGUUGUAAAGCUCUUUCGGCAGGAACGAAACGGUGAGCUCUAACAUAGCUCGCUAAUGACGGUACCUGAAGAAGAAGCACCGGCUAACUACGUGCCAGCAGCCGUGGUAAUACGUAGGGUGCGAGCGUUAAUCGGAAUUACUGGGCGUAAAGCGUGCGCAGGCGGUUGUGUAAGACAGGUGUGAAAUCCCCGGGCUUAACCUGGGAACUGCGCUUGUGACUGCACGGCUAGAGUAUGGCAGAGGGGGGUGGAAUUCCACGUGUAGCAGUGAAAUGCGUAGAGAUGUGGAGGAACACCGUUGGCGAAGGCAGCCCCCUGGGCCAAUACUGACGCUCAUGCACGAAAGCGUGGGGAGCAAACAGGAUUAGAAACCCCUGUAGUCC